This 74-nucleotide transfer RNA is filed under the name Minicystis rosea. RNAcentral describes it as "tRNA-Leu". It matches the Rfam family "tRNA". From Rfam's summary of the family: Transfer RNA (tRNA) molecules are approximately 80 nucleotides in length. Their secondary structure includes four short double-helical elements and three loops (D, anti-codon, and T loops). The record is from RNAcentral. Lineage: Bacteria; Pseudomonadati; Myxococcota; Polyangiales; Polyangiaceae.
GCUCGGAUGGCGCAAUUGGCAGACGCGUCCGCCUCAAAACCGGAAUGUUGAGGGUUCGACUCCCUCUCCGAGCA